This 116-nucleotide ribozyme is filed under the name Aedes aegypti (yellow fever mosquito). RNAcentral describes it as "drz-agam-1 ribozyme". It matches the Rfam family "drz-agam-1 ribozyme". Lineage: Eukaryota; Metazoa; Arthropoda; Insecta; Diptera; Culicidae. The record is from Rfam by way of RNAcentral.
UGCCCAGCAACUCCUAUCCCUACCUCCUCGCGGUACUGGCCGGGGUACGAGUAACCUUAGGGAAGAUCGGGUAACCAACCCCGGUGGGAACUUUGGUCGUAUGCUGACAGGGAAGG